UUUUUUUUUAUUGUCAUUAGUCAUUCCUUUAACAGGUUAGAAAACAAAAAAAACCAAAAAAACAAACCAACAUUUCAGUAACAUUUCAUCAUAGUUUAUACAGAACCGGUUGAUGCAUGGUGUCAUCUCCUCAUCCAAAUCCACAGCCACUUUCCAUAUCGCAGAGUUUAGGAAUUACAGUGCACACUGGACUAUAUUCUUUCACAAUGUAAGGCACAACUACAUGAUCACAAGUAGUAAACACAAACACCGAAAGUAGAACUUAAGAGAAUCGAACUUCAAAUAAAAAGAAACAAAACCAAUACACACUCAUGCAAAAAAUCUACCUACACCUACCAAGAUGGUAUGAUGCAGUUUAAAAGAAGUGCAGUACUCUGUAGGUAAAACUGCAACAUAAGGCUAUCAUAAUACAUUACCUCUAAAUACCGGGUAAGAACUUAAAACUUUUCCCAUUUAUAUUUUAUGCAAUCAUACAGAAAUCAAGCUGUAUGAGCAAUAUUCACAUCUGCAAUAAUAAACUGAUCAUUAAAAUUGAGAAAAGAGGCAAACAAGACAAUGUAAUUUGUGGCACGCAUCCAUUACAGUACUGAAGAAAAAACAAGUCUAAAGUAAUGGUACAUUUGGUGAACAACAAAGCUGCAUACAAAAUUGUUUACACCCAGCAGACCAUAACUAUGACAGCUUGUGGUUAUGAUUUAUUUCCUGUCCAGCAGCUGAAGUUUGCAAGAUUGGAACUACCGAAGUUAAAAGAAUACAACAGAGUUUACAGUAACUUGAAACUAUGGGAUACUUUCAAACACAUUAAAUGAAGAGACUUAACUUCUUUCCUUUUUGGUGAUAAACUUUUGCAAUUUUGGCAUCCACUAUAACUUGUACAUAACAUGACAGUGAGCAAACCUUAUUAAACUUACCUAAUGUUUGAAUUUCACACUGAGAGGUAGUUUAAAUGAAAUCUUAUGUAACGACAUCAAAUGGUGGGGGUUUAUGAUUUUUUUUUUUCUGUGUGUGACUUUUUCUCUUUUCUUACAAAAGUGACAAAUCCUAUACAAGCAGCAUUUUGGACAUAUUACUAUAAAAAGUUCUGGUAUUUGCUAACCCAGUGAGAUGUUCUUUCAAACAUCCCUUUGGUGCCAGGAAUCAAGCUAUCCUGUGAUACAACGGAGUACUUUGCCAUAAAGUCAACAGCAGGAGCCUGGACCUGCCGCUAGCACUGGCCUGCUGACAUAUGACAACGUACGCUCUUUCCCAGUUCUCUUUACCCAAGCAAGGCAGGAAAUACAGAUGAAUUUGGUUUUAGUUUAGGUCAUACGGGGAGUAAAAAUUGGAGAACACGCCUACCAGGCUUCUGCUUUCAUAGUAAUGUUGAGCCAAAAGGGUUAGCAGAGCUUCAGUAACCGCUGUGAGUGCAUAGUGUAUGGUGAGCUACAGAAAAAAAGCAGAGUUUAUUACAUGAACUAGUACCUAUCCUCUUCAUUAUUGUGAUCUUAAGUGGCAUCUAAUGUUCUCUCUAAAGAUGCAAACCUCUUUAUUCAGUGACCCUUAGAAAAAAAAAAUAUCCCAAAACUGAGUUUCUGUGGCAAGACUUCACUAUCCAAUUAUUGCUGGUUUUGAAAAGUACACCAUAUAGUGCUUUUGGAGAGGCUGUGGUGGGACAACAAUUCUAAACUUAUCCUAGAAGGGAUGCCAAGGUCAAGACUUCAAAAAUUAAGAACUGGACAACUGGCAAGACCCUUGAAAAUAAACAAGAUUCACAUUUUCUCAUUUAAUAAUCUUAAAAUGAAGCUCUACAAAGACAAUGUGCGCGUGAUUACAUGGGUUUUGUUGUUACAUGUGCUCUCAGAUGAUGAUCAUGAUUUUGGUACAAAGGAAUUACAAGUGCAAUUCUCCUUACAUAGCAAGGGGCCAAAUGUAAUACAGUGAGAAGUCCAGCUGAAGACAAACUUUCUGUCCAUUCAUUACAGCUAACACAUGCGAUGUAAAAUAUACCAUUCCACUUACUGUAGAUUAUAUUCAGUUAGACAGCAAAAAGUGCAUAGUGCAAGUGACAGUGUUGUUUCCUAGUCUUCCAAGAAUAUGAGAGUGGGAGGGGUGGUACUUGGAGGAGUAAUUUAUCAGUUUCAACAUACUCAAACCAUUAUAUCAUUCUUCUCGGCAUAGUUUAUUUUCUAUUUGAACUUAAGCUCCAGCAGUUUUCUAUCUGCCACUAAAUACUGGCCAUAAUAAUUUACAAAGUUUUGCAACAAGCAUUUGUUUCCAUUUGAUGUUUAACUGACAUUCAACAAUCCAAAAAAGUACUUGAGUUUUCCAGGUCCCUUCUUUAGGAAUGUCACUUCUCUUACAUCUAGCAUGAAAGAGUC
Molecule: long non-coding RNA, 2357 nt
Filed under: Strigops habroptila (Kakapo)
Lineage: Eukaryota; Metazoa; Chordata; Aves; Psittaciformes; Psittacidae
Description: lncRNA (ENSSHBG00005010143.1)
Source: RNAcentral